RNAcentral lists this transfer RNA (25 nucleotides) under Ursus arctos (brown bear). RNAcentral describes it as "partial tRNA-Gln". Lineage: Eukaryota; Metazoa; Chordata; Mammalia; Carnivora; Ursidae. The record is from RNAcentral.
UAGGAUAUAGUGUAAUUAGGUAGCA